GUGGCGACGGGUGAGUAACACGUGGGCAAUCUGCCCUUCACUCUGGGACAAGCCCUGGAAACGGGGUCUAAUACCGGAUAACACUCUGUCCCGCAUGGGACGGGGUUAAAAGCUCCGGCGGUGAAGGAUGAGCCCGCGGCCUAUCAGCUUGUUGGUGGGGUAAUGGCCUACCAAGGCGACGACGGGUAGCCGGCCUGAGAGGGCGACCGGCCACACUGGGACUGAGACACGGCCCAGACUCCUACGGGAGGCAGCAGUGGGGAAUAUUGCACAAUGGGCGAAAGCCUGAUGCAGCGACGCCGCGUGAGGGAUGACGGCCUUCGGGUUGUAAACCUCUUUCAGCAGGGAAGAAGCGAAAGUGACGGUACCUGCAGAAGAAGCGCCGGCUAACUACGUGCCAGCAGCCGCGGUAAUACGUAGGGCGCAAGCGUUGUCCGGAAUUAUUGGGCGUAAAGAGCUCGUAGGCGGCUUGUCACGUCGGAUGUGAAAGCCCGGGGCUUAACCCCGGGUCUGCAUUCGAUACGGGCUAGCUAGAGUGUGGUAGGGGAGAUCGGAAUUCCUGGUGUAGCGGUGAAAUGCGCAGAUAUCAGGAGGAACACCGGUGGCGAAGGCGGAUCUCUGGGCCAUUACUGACGCUGAGGAGCGAAAGCGUGGGGGAGCGAACAGGAUUAGAUACCCUGGUAGUCCACGCCGUAAACGUUGGGAACUAGGUGUUGGCGACAUUCCACGUCGUCGGUGCCGCAGCUAACGCAUUAAGUUCCCCGCCUGGGGAGUACGGCCGCAAGGCUAA
This 790-nucleotide ribosomal RNA is filed under the name Streptomyces sp. RNAcentral's name for it is "bacterial SSU rRNA". It matches the Rfam family "Bacterial small subunit ribosomal RNA", at positions 95 to 897 of the family's 1533-position model. The record is from RNAcentral. Lineage: Bacteria; Bacillati; Actinomycetota; Actinomycetes; Kitasatosporales; Streptomycetaceae.